This 439-nucleotide ribosomal RNA is filed under the name uncultured bacterium. RNAcentral's name for it is "partial 16S ribosomal RNA". It matches the Rfam family "Bacterial small subunit ribosomal RNA", at positions 339 to 795 of the family's 1533-position model. The record is from RNAcentral.
CUACGGAGUGCAGCAGUGAGGAAUAUUGCACAAUGGGGGGAACCCUGAUGCAGCAACGCCGCGUGGAGGAUGACGCAUUUCGGUGUGUAAACUCCUUUUAUAUGUCAAGAAAAUGACGGUAGCAUAUGAAUAAGCACCGGCUAACUCCGUGCCAGCAGCCGCGGUAAUACGGAGGGUGCAAGCGUUACUCGGAAUCACUGGGCGUAAAGGACGCGUAGGCGGGUUGGAAAGUCAGGUGCGAAAUCCUACAGCUUAACUGUAGAACUGCACUUGAAACUUCUAAUCUAGAGUAUGGGAGGGGGAGAUGGAAUUAGUGGUGUAGGGGUAAAAUCCGUAGAUAUCACUAGGAAUACCUAAAGCGAAGGCGAUCUCCUGGAACAUUACUGACGCUAAGGCGUGAAAGCGUGGGGAGCAAACAGGAUUAGAUACCCUCGUAGUC